ACGGGAGGCAGCAGUGGGGAAUAUUGGGCAAUGGGCGAAAGCCUGACCCAGCAACGCCGCGUGAAGGAAGAAGGCCUUCGGGUUGUAAACUUCUUUUGUCAGGGACGAAGGACGUGACGGUACCUGACGAAUAAGCAACGGCUAACUACGUGCCAGCAGCCGCGGUAAUACGUAGGCUGCAAGCGUUGUCCGGAUUUACUGGGUGUAAAGGGCGUGUAGGCGGUUCUGCAAGUCAGAUGUGAAAUCCCGGGGCUCAACCCCGGAACUGCAUUUGAAACUGUAGACCUUGAGUAUCGGAGAGGCAAGCGGAAUUCCUAGUGUAGCGGUGAAAUGCGUAGAUAUUAGGAGGAACACCAGUGGCGAAGGCGGCUUGCUGGGCUCUAACUGACGCUGAGGCUCGAAAGUGUGGGGAGCAAACAGGAUUAGAUACCCUGGUA
RNAcentral lists this ribosomal RNA (437 nucleotides) under uncultured Clostridium sp. RNAcentral describes it as "partial 16S ribosomal RNA". It matches the Rfam family "Bacterial small subunit ribosomal RNA", at positions 341 to 792 of the family's 1533-position model. Lineage: Bacteria; Bacillati; Bacillota; Clostridia; Eubacteriales; Clostridiaceae. The record is from RNAcentral.